CUGCAUGUGGGACCAACAUGGGCAACACGGAGUUUAAACAGUUGCAAAUGGAGGGCGGGAACACCGUGCCUUGUUCUACAUAUUUCUCCCUGACUGGGUUGAAUUUAAAGUGAUGUUGCUCCAUUGUUCACAGGGCUCCUUGCCCCAUAUUGACAGAAGCUACUGUUUACAUGGACUUUUCAUUCUUUCAUUGUUUGCUUAUGGAAAAUAAGGGGGAGUGACAAAAAAAUAAAAGGGAAGGGGGGAGAGAAAAGAGGGAGUCACUGACUACAUUGCAGAACCAGUAACCUUGUCUUAUGUGAUCAUUAACCUUGCUGGAAAAUGCAGCUGGCAGUUCAUUCUGAAGCUUACCAUUAGAAUGUGAGCAAAGACACGAAUACUGCAGAGGCAUUUCAAGGACGGUUUGAUUUGCUGCUAGUUUUAAACAAUACCGCACCUACUUUGUGAGACUGCAAAAUGAGAGUUCAACAGAUCCUUUACAUCUUACUUUUUCUCUUAAUGAGUCUACUUUUUGUAAUCGGACAGAGACCAGCUAACCUGGCCCUGCGCAGAAAGCUGCACAGACACAACUGCUCCCACAGGCGGUGCAUGCCUCUCCACUCCAGAGUGCCCUUCCCCUGAGAGACCUGCGAGCCGCCCUCCCCGCGCUCACCUUCGGCCACGGUACUUCGCACGGGUUGGGCAAUACAAAGCAGGCGGCGCCAAGAAGCAUGCAAUGAUCGGAGAGCUGCCGGGGGCGUCCCUGUGGAAACGCGGCUCACCGUGCUCUGCCUCGCCACAGCAUUGCCCAAGUCGGCUCGCAUUUGCCAACAGCUGACGUUCUACUAACCGAGGAGGCUACAUUUGGGCACGAGGCCUUGGGAUGUUUGUUCUGAAAACAGGCAUUUGAAAAAGCAAAAGAAGAAUGAAAGAGGAAACCAGUCAAGAAAAUGUGAUGUGAUAGCUGCAGCUUUCUAAUCAGUGCAGGUGUCCACCUAUAAGCCAUCACCACAUUCAGAACCUUAUCAGACUCCUACUGGAACAACUUCACAGGAGUUUCAGAUUUCUCCAAGUUGGGAAAAACAAUGGAAUCACAAAUGACUCCUUUCAGGAACUUUGGAAAAUCACCAGUGCCAUAAAAAGAUAGUCACUGUUUUUCAAACACCAACAAAUUAACUAUGUAGGUACCAGCAAACCAUUGUUGCUUUGAAAAUUUUUAAAAAAUUAGACCAAUAUUAUGCUACCAAAAGACCUAUUAUUUUAAUAGUUGUUUACCAUUCAAAUAGGUCUGUAUUUCUAUUUAGACAUAAAUACCUAAUAAAGAAUGGUGAUUCUUUAAAUCUUAAAUUCUUUAAAUAACUUUAAUAGUUACAUUUUAUGGACAAAUAUGUGGACUUUAAUGUUUAUGGUGGUUCUGGAUGUUUAUAUGUAUCUAUAAUUAUGCAAUUAACUUUUAACUUUCUUAAUAAUCUCAAGAAAUGCAUAAUGUAUCCAGAUAGUUAUAAGUGCACAUUCAUUUAUGGAUAGAAAAUGUUAACCACUAACCUCUCUUUGGAAGCAAAAAUGUUCAGCCUAGAUUUUGGAAAAAAAUUCUGAAUGUAUUAGCUCUUUUUUUAAAGUCAUGUUGCAUACUACAAAAACAGCUAAAUAAAAUCAUAGGUCAUGAUCUUUGAUUGUUAUUAAUGUUUAGAAAAUACCUAUGUGGCUGUAUAUUUUGUAAACAUACUAUGCACUUCAAUAACAUCUCAGUUUAAAUAAACUUUGUACAUUUUAUUUUUAA
Pelodiscus sinensis (Chinese soft-shelled turtle) is the source of this 1759-nucleotide non-coding RNA. The record is from RefSeq and is a predicted model, not a curated record. Lineage: Eukaryota; Metazoa; Chordata; Testudines; Trionychidae.